Long non-coding RNA from Chenopodium quinoa (quinoa), 1146 nucleotides. RefSeq lists it as uncharacterized. The transcript has 2 exons. The record is from RefSeq and is a predicted model, not a curated record. Lineage: Eukaryota; Viridiplantae; Streptophyta; Magnoliopsida; Caryophyllales; Amaranthaceae.
CGUAGUUGUGUAGCCUAUAUAAGGCAUGUAAUAAACAUAAGUGUGAUAUAGAAAAAUACAGACAGUCAAAUAUUUUCUCUUAUUUUAAUAUGGUGGUUUUAGGAUCCCUUUUUCUUUCUUCCGCAAGAUCAAUUAUAUAAUUUUUUUUCCUACAAUAGCCGUCAUCAUCUAAUCAAUUUUUAUUUUAUUUUUGGGUUUGCUUGGUUGCUGCACUACAUCCACCAAUUUCCUAAUUUGUUUUGUAGGUGUACGUGGCUUUCUCAUACUCCUCCACUAAAACACCUACUUUUUUUUAUUUAUUUUUUCAAUUGGAUUCCAUUAUUCAACCUCUCUUUUUCGCCAUGGUUGGAAGUGAAAGCAACACCAAGAAACCACAAUUGAUUCAUGACGCAUCAUCAUUCUACUAUUUGCAUCCAUCGGAAAAUUCAGGAAAGAAAAUAUCAGCAUCAAAUUGCAUUCUACGCCACUUUGAUUAAGAGAAGCAAAAUUUACAAGCCAGUUGACUCUCAAAUAUUUCAAGCCCAAUAUUGUUUUAUUGUGUAGGCUUUUACAUUUGGGCCUUGAAUGAAAAUAUCUUCCUACUUAGCUGAGUGAAGAAAAGAGGCAGCUCAAGAACAUUUCUCCUUGCUCUAAAGCAUAGAGUUUUUCACCGACUUUCACGGAGAACAAACCGUCAAACAAGAUGAUAAAGAUGAAAGUGGAUAAUUAUUGGAGCGAAAUACUCGGAGCAACGGAGAUGAAUCAAAGGCUAGUUCCUUAUCUUUCGGUUAGGGAAGUUUUUGAGUGUUAUCAGAUCCGUAAUUUUGGGGAGCAAAAUUGAGGGAAUAUAAUCUGAAUUUCGGCGGAGAGUUGCGACAUCCAACAGUGAACAGAGGUGGUAGACGAGUGAACAGAGGUGGCUUGGUUCUGUGCAUGGUUACUCUGAUCAUCUACUGGAAGCUUUUGAUAUUUUAUAUAUUUUGUUUACAUUCAAUUGUCAGCUACUUGUUUUUACUUUGGAUUAGCAGUAGAAGUUUUGUUUAGAAAAUGGAAAUAAUAAAGUUAGUGCUUCCUUAAUUUGUUCUUGAAUGCGUCAGUUACUCCUAGGAAUUAUACUUUGAUUGCUUAAUAUAAUUUCUAGUAUCUAUUUCUAUUUUGCUUUGUUAA